Molecule: long non-coding RNA, 169 nt
Organism: Juglans microcarpa x Juglans regia
Lineage: Eukaryota; Viridiplantae; Streptophyta; Magnoliopsida; Fagales; Juglandaceae
Exons: 2
Source: RefSeq, a predicted model, not a curated record
AUUAAUUGUUUAUUACCAAACACCCCUUUUCUAUAUAUUGUAAUUACCAACCCAAUCAUUACUAUCCAUGCAAGUAACGAUCACUCCUGUGGUACUUUUAAGGUAAAAAAAACAAUAAAAAACUAUUAAGAGUUGCCCGAUCAAAAAAUAUCCCACGGGUGUCUACACU